RNAcentral lists this ribosomal RNA (437 nucleotides) under uncultured bacterium. Its description in RNAcentral is "bacterial SSU rRNA". It matches the Rfam family "Bacterial small subunit ribosomal RNA", at positions 28 to 507 of the family's 1533-position model. The record is from RNAcentral.
GAUGAACGCUGGCGGUAUGCCUAACACAUGCAAGUCGUACGAGAGUUUUUAACUCUAGUGGCGGACGGGUGAGUAACACGUGAGAAUUUGCCUUUAGGAGGGGGGAUAACAAUUGGAACGAAUGCUAAUACCCCAUAUGCUUUUGAGUGAAAUGGAUUUUAUCCGCCUAGAGAGAAGCUCGCGGCUGAUUAGCUUGUUGGUAAGGUAAGAGCUUACCAAGGCGACGAUCAGUAUCUGGUUUGAGAGGACGAUCAGACACACUGGAACUGAGACACGGUCCAGACUCCUACGGGAGGCAGCAGUGGGGAAUAUUGCACAAUGGACGAAAGUCUGAUGCAGCAACGCCGCGUGGAGGAUGACACAUUUCGGUGCGUAAACUCCUUUUAUAUGAGAAGAUAAUGACGGUAUUAUAUGAAUAAGCACCGGCUAACUCCGUG